AUUGAACGCUGGCGGCAGGCCUAACACAUGCAAGUCGGGCUAGCGGCGGACGGGUGAGUAAUGUAUGGGGAUCUGCCUGAUGGAGGGGGAUAACUACUGGAAACGGUAGCUAAUACCCCAUACCACCACAUGAACCCAUAUGGGAUUAGCUUGUAGGUGAGGGAACGGCUCACCAAGGCUACGCUCCCUAGCUGUUCUGAGAGGAUGAUCGGCAAAACGUGGAAUGAGACACGGCCCAGACUCCGACGUGAGGCAGCAGUGGGUAAGAUGGCACAAUGGGAGCAAGCAUGAUGCAGUCAUGCCGCGUGUAUGAAGAAGGCCUUCGGAUUGUAAAGUACUUUCAGUCGGGAGGCGUUACCGACAGAGGAAGCACCGGCUAACUCCGUGCCAGCAGCAGCGGUAAUUC
This 406-nucleotide ribosomal RNA is filed under the name uncultured bacterium. RNAcentral describes it as "partial 16S ribosomal RNA". It matches the Rfam family "Bacterial small subunit ribosomal RNA", at positions 30 to 526 of the family's 1533-position model. The record is from RNAcentral.